RNAcentral lists this ribosomal RNA (774 nucleotides) under uncultured bacterium. RNAcentral describes it as "bacterial SSU rRNA". It matches the Rfam family "Bacterial small subunit ribosomal RNA", at positions 718 to 1502 of the family's 1533-position model. The record is from RNAcentral.
AAGGCAGCUUGCCAUACUGCGACUGACACUGAAGCACGAAGGCGUGGGUAUCAAACAGGAUUAGAUACCCUGGUAGUCCACGCAGUAAACGAUGAUUACUAGGAGUUUGCGAUAUACCGUCAAGCUUCCACAGCGAAAGCGUUAAGUAAUCCACCUGGGGAGUACGCCGGCAACGGCGAAACUCAAAGGAAUUGACGGGGGCCCGCACAAGCGGAGGAACAUGUGGUUUAAUUCGAUGAUACGCGAGGAACCUUACCCGGGAUUGAAAUGUAGAUGACGGAUGGUGAAAACCGUCUUCCCUUCGGGGCGUCUAUGUAGGUGCUGCAUGGUUGUCGUCAGCUCGUGCCGUGAGGUGUCGGCUUAAGUGCCAUAACGAGCGCAACCCACAUCGGUAGUUGUUAACAGUUUUCGCUGAGGACUCUACCGAGACUGCCGUCGUAAGGCGCGAGGAAGGUGUGGAUGACGUCAAAUCAGCACGGCCCUUACAUCCGGGGCGACACACGUGUUACAAUGGGAGGGACAAAGGGCAGCUACCGGGCGACCGGAUGCGAAUCUCUAAACCCUUCCCCAGUUCGGAUCGGAGUCUGCAGCUCAACUCCGUGAAGCUGGAUUCGCUAGUAAUCGCGCAUCAGCCAUGGCGCGGUGAAUACGUUCCCGGGCCUUGUACACACCGCCCGUCAAGCCACGGGAGUCGGGGGUACAGGAAGGGCGUAACCGCAAGGGGCGCACUAGGGUAAUACCGGUGACGGGGGCUAAGUCGUAACAAGGUAGCCG